Dama dama (fallow deer) is the source of this 664-nucleotide long non-coding RNA. RefSeq lists it as uncharacterized. NCBI's taxonomy places the organism in Eukaryota, Metazoa, Chordata, Mammalia, Artiodactyla, Cervidae. The transcript is spliced from 2 exons. The record is from RefSeq and is a predicted model, not a curated record.
CCCCUGUGCCAGCGCUCUUGGCUCCACCUCCCUACUCCCCUUGUCUCCCUCCCCGUAGUUUCCACCUGUUCUCUUUCACCUCUCCUCCCCUCAACUCUCACCGCUUCCCUGUCCCACUUUCCUCGCUUUAACUACAAGUCAGGUCUUGGAGCUGUGACUCAAGCUCUCAGUAAACACUUCAAGUAUGUCCAAAAGGAAGACCUCUUCAAAUUAUUCAUCAUGAGGAUGGGCAGCUAUAGUGAUGGACCCCCAAAAUUUCAAUGAAUAAGCAUAAAAUUGGAAAAGACUCUGAUGUUGGGAAAGAUUGAGGGCAGGAGGAGAAGGCAUCAUUGACUUAAUGGACAUGAGUUUAAGCAAACUCCAGGAGAUGAUGAAGAACAGGGAAACUUGGAGUGCUGCAGCCCAUGGCAUCACAGAGUCAGACACAAAUGAGUGGCUGAACAACAACAAAGCAUGAAAUGACUUUGAAGUUUCCAAUAUGCUCAGUGACUUAGAAGAGUCUUAAUCGUGCUUGUUUAAAAUUACCACCAAGGGGAAAAGUUCAUUGUGUCCCUUCUAGAACCCUCCUUGCUGUUUGUUCCAUGCAUCCCCUACCAUCCUGGACUAUACCUGCUUUCUUCCUGCUUCCACAAUGACAAGGGGAAUAAAAAAUAUAUCAUUGAGA